RNAcentral lists this ribosomal RNA (286 nucleotides) under uncultured bacterium. Its description in RNAcentral is "partial 16S ribosomal RNA". It matches the Rfam family "Bacterial small subunit ribosomal RNA", at positions 224 to 501 of the family's 1533-position model. The record is from RNAcentral.
GACGAGUCUGCGGCCCAUCAGCUUGUUGGUGAGGUAACGGCUUACCAAGGCGAAGACGGGUAGCUGGUCUGAGAGGAUGAUCAGCCACACUGGCACUGGAACACGGGCCAGACUCCUACGGGAGGCAGCAGUGAGGAAUAUUGGGCAAUGGGCGCAAGCCUGACCCAGCCACGCCGCGUGAGUGAUGAUGGCUUUCGAGUUGUAAAGCUCUGUGGGGAGGGAAGAAAAUGCGUACGAAUAAUAAGCGUGCGUACUGACGGUACCUCCUUAGAAAGCACCGGCUAAC